CUGUUGGUUCUAAGUUCCAAAUCCAGGUGGAAACAGCCCUAGGUAGCACUCAGUGUGUUUCAGAGGCUAAUAGUAGAUGGAGCAGCUUUAUUUCUCCAUAGAAAUAUUUCCACUUCAGUGAAAUUUGCUGGCAAAUAUCUCUAAUAACAACAUAUAUUACUUUUUCAAAUUGUUACACUCCAAAAUGGCCAGAAAAGCAACUCUGUGCUCUUCAAGGGCUGCUCCAGCCUCCAGAAGUGCUCCCACAGCUGUCCCCCCAGGGGCUUGGUCCAGACCCUCACUGGCCAGAACGCAGUGGUGCAGCAUGGGUACUGAGAAGCUCCCAGGCCAAGCUGCAAAGGACCUACAUGAUGCUAAGAACUGGAACCCGCCGAACUCCUGAACUAGAUCUGUAUUUUCCUAAAAGAAAGCACAUCUGCUAAGCAGUGUCUUGCAUGAGAGUUGCUCCUGGGUUCACUGCUUUGCCUUGGUGACUAUCUUGUUUCAGGCAUGGUUAAGUACUUUGAUCAAAGAAGCGUGGGAACACCUGCAGCCAUCCUGGUGGGCUGGCCCCACACCUGGUGGCUUGGGGAGGGUGGCUGUAACACUCGUCAAUCAGCUGAAAAAGUGGGUGGUGAGGAGGACAAGGUUCAGGAGACCACCGAGUGGAGAUUUCAGGAAAUGCCCUGAGACCACAGGUGACAGGGGCCCCAUAAGCAUCCUCUGAAGGCCCUGGAUGCUCAGCACAUAUGAGAACACUAUGCAAACCUGCCCCUCUGUGCCCCUCUGAGUCAAGCACCCAGCUUCACCCUGGGGUUGGCCGCACAGCUUCAUCAGGGCCACAGCUGCCCAUGACAAUGCCAAUAGCAGCCAGUGUCUGCUGGUACGACCUCCCAUCAUGCCGGUAAGGGGCAGUGCCGCUGGCACGGAUGCCUUGGCAUCGCAGAUGGAAACAGCAGGUAAACAGCACUUGCCAGGCAGGGCUAUUCUCUUACUCCCGGCCCUCACCUUCUCCUUUGAAUCACAAAGGCGGUGAGACUGCAUUCACUUACAGGUUCCUAUUUAGGGCCAAGUUGCUCUGCCUUUCCAAAUCAGCAUGGGCCUCAGGCCCUGGCUCAGCCCUCCAGGCUCGACUUACCCGGCUGAUGAGCUGCUCGCCCGUCUCGGAGGCAGUGAUGAGUUUGCAAAGGGCUUGGAGGGCAGGAUUGGGCAGACCUAAACCAAGAAAAAAGGGUAGAAGUUAUUCAGAAGGGCCUCUGCACCCAAAAGCCUGCCACCUUCCCAGGGGAAAGAACCCUAAAUCCUUGGCAUCGGUGGCAUUUUUCAGAAGCUCAGCACAGCUAGACAUGUGUGUCUGUGUGUGCCUUGGAAAAGGACAGCGUGGUCUCCCAGGAAGGUGGGUGGAAGUGGGUUGAGUCCUGACCCUGCCGCAGUCCUCUAGGCGUGGCCACACUCCCAGGACCCAGGCAGCACCACCCCUAGUCAAGCACCCAGCUUCACCCUGGGGUUGGCCGCACAGCUUCAUCGGGGCCACAGCUGCUGAUGACAAUGGCAGUAGUGGCCAGUGUCUGCCGGCACGACCUCCCAUCAUCCCGGGAAGGGGCAGCGCCAGUGGGGCGCAGAUGCCUGCCAUCACAGAUGGAAACAGCAGGUAAAUGGCACUUGUUUCCUCCAGGUGUGGAGAUGCUUGUAUCUGGGACCCCCUGCCAUUUCUCAGGACACCCUCCUGCUCCUAGCUGGGAGAUCCAGCAUCCUCAUGAAUGCGGGGCCCAAGGCCACCAACUGUUCCACCUGCUGUCAGCCAGGCCUGUUGCCCCAGCCCUACACCCACAGCUCACCCAGCAGGGACUGGAGUGUGCUGCUGCACUGCUGGAGCCGGUCGCCCGGGUCGGAGGUUGGGAAGAAGACAGCCGCUGGCAGGCCACUGGUUGGGGGGUCCAGCCGGAAGCCCACAGCGGUGAGGAGGGCCUGCCAGCCAGGGAUGCCGCCCACUUUGUUCUCCACACUCUGCUGGGAUGUGUACAUGGCAUUGCGCUGCCCAUUCUGGAUGCGCUGCAGGGAUUUCUCCACCUGAGGGGGAAUUGGGGUAAACACUGGGAUGCCGGAGCUCAGGCAUCCCAGACAGGAGGAAGUGUGUACUCACACCAGCCAGGAGGAAACAAGCCUGCCUGGGAGGACAGACGAUCAGCCCUGGCUGUCCCUCAGGAGCGGGGGGCCUCCAAGGCACACUGCCCACUGGGUCAAGGAGUAUCCAGGAGGAGUUAGAAGCAUGACCCAUCUGCCUGGCACCAGCACCUGGGGCUGCCAGGCAGCCACCCCUGCAGCUGUGUUGACAGGACCUGGCAGAGGGACUGACCCACCUUUGGAAAAUGACACCAGCAAUAUCAGGAUGUGUCAACUGGAUUUAUGCUAAGAAAAUAGGAUUUUUGGUGUUCCUCUGUUUCCCAAAGUUUGAGACACUUUCAGACACUCUGCUUUGCGGUUGUGGCCGAUGUUACCCAUGGGUGGGACUUUUGCUUUGCUCUAGAUUUUUGUAACACCCUGGGGAGUUUCAGGGGCCAAUGCUGAGAGAAGACCACAGGCUGACACAUCAUGAGGUAUGUUGGUAAAACAGUCCCGGCUGGCCGAGAGGCCACUGAGGGAACAGGCCCAGGGUUUGGUUUGUACUCUGUGAGUCUUGGCCUGGCAGGGUUUCCUGCAAAGCAGAGUCCUCUGAGUGGGACCCCAGGGGAAGCAGGUUGUUGCCUGGAGCUGAGGGGCAGCUCUGUAUUCAGGAGGGGUGCCUGCCUUCCCAUCUCCCCUGUGACCAGAUGUCACAGAAACAUUCUCUCUUUACUCCCUAGACCCUCUGGGCAGGUCCACUAAGAGCAUGUAUUCUAGAACAUGCAGGGCUUGAAGCUUCACAAGAUAUUCAGUGCACUCCUUACAGAUCCUGUCAAAUGUGGACCGGGUGGUGUCAUCGCACCACCAUCAUCCCCUUGUUACCCCUGAGAACACAGCUUCAGAGAGGGUAAGUAACCUAUCUCAGGCCACACAGCCAGGACAUGGAGUAGAUCCAUCCUAAGUCUUUCUACCACACACUCCUUUCUACAGUCAUGGGUUAAAUGAGGGUGCCAUGGAAUGGGUCAUCCAGUGUACACUGACAUCAGGAGGAGUUUCACAUUCAUACACUCAUGGCAAAUGGUUCUGUUGCUCCCUGGUCCAAAGAUGAUCUUAAUAGUAGGAAAAACUCAUUUGGCAGAAGCAAGACUCAGCACACAGGCUCUCUCCCUGAGUCUUCUGUGGCUGGCCUUGCCCUGCCCUCCCCUCCCCAACCCCACUGGCAGAAUAAAGUCGGGGGGCUGUGAGGACUGAGCCCCAGGCCUUGACAGGCACCCGCAGCCAGCCGAACUCCCACCUGCCCAGUUGGAGGGGUGCGAGAAGGCCUUGCUGCUCUGCACCACCUUCAUGGCCUCCCCCAGGGCGGCGCUGGCUUUCAGGCCGUUCAGCAGGGAUGAGUAGAAGGCAUGGAUGAACAUCUUAGAAGCAGCCACUGGCACAGGCCACAGAGACACGAGGACACACUGAGCGCCGGCAGCCAGGAAGGCCCUUGUCAGCGCGAUGACCCCGUCGGCUGUGACUUUGCUGUUGGACUCCUGGGAGGAGCCAAGCACCACCAGCUUCACAGGCAGCUGCAGGUCCAGGACGUCGGCGGCAGUGCCUAACUUACUGAGAAUCAUGCCUGCUGUGAUGAGCCCUUGGAAACCAUCAGGACUGGAUGGUAGGGGUCCUGAGAGGAUUGGGGGAGGAGGCCUUGAUAUGACAGAGUGGACAGAGGCCGUGGAACCCAGGACAGCCAGCCUGCUCCACAAUCCUCAUCCCCACAGACCUUCAUGUGUGGCUCCUAAAUAAGAGGAAACCCACUCCUGAUAAGUCAGGGGCUUUGAAAAGUGAUUUUGUUUAAAUGGUGCAAACAAGCAAGCCAAUCUUGGGGAGACAGGGCUAAACUUAAGUCCUUUAAGAAGCUCUACAUACUGACAAGAUUCUAGUUCCCUUCCACCUUAUAUGCUGCAAAGUAAAAAGUAUCACUGAAUGAGAAAAUCAGCAUAAAGAAGCCCAAUAAUGUCUGCCUGAGUUUCCCCUAUGAUGACUUUUGGUACUUUUUGGGAAACAUUAAGUAUGAAGUUAUUUCAAAAUAAUUUUUUGGUGCCUCUGCUUGGUGAUGCCUUAAACUCUGGGUAAGAGAAACACCAGGUGCCUGUCAGGAGAUGGCCUUUUCCAGGUUUCUGGUUAAGCUACAAACAGCUAACUGGCUGCUGUCAUCAAAAUAAAAGCUUUCUGAAGGUGGAGGCAUCUGAUACCCAGAGUGCUGCUAUCAGCCGGCACGGUGGGCCGCUGGGUGGCAGGAGCGUCGAGAAGGCCAGCUCGCUUCCUAUCUGGGAUUCAGAAUCAGCUAUGGAAACUUGAGAGACCUAGAGAAAAUAACUUCUUUCACUUUGAACUGAUUCUUUGCUUCAUAAGAAAAGUAUUAUCCAGCCACAAAAAUGGUCAAAAUUCAGAUCUACAAAAGCCUGUCAGGCAGAAACUGACCCCACUUAGGCCACGCCAAUGAGCAAGUCAUCAAAGCAGCCAAGACAGGUCCUGUGGGGGCCACCCAUGCACAGGGCCCAGCCUCGGGUCCUAACCCCGCCUAUGCUUUCCGCCACCAUAAAGAGGCCCAUCUGGGUAAGACCUGUCCCGCCUGCUGUGGGGUAUUAGGGCAGAUGGGGUCUGAGGGGUCUGAGGGCUCUGAGAGCAGCUGGCAGCUCAAGGACAUCCGGAGUUGGAGGAUGGAGCAAUGCAGGCCCUUGUGGUAAAGACAGUCCUGCAGCCGCGCAGGCAGGGAUGCUGCAAGUGGAGUGCCAGGCGGGUGCGGAGCCCUGUGGGACUGUGGAGGGGUCAGAGGGAAGCCAGGAUUUUGGGGUCUCUGAGAGUUUGGAGAAGGGGAAGAAGAUUAAAGCUUGUUUCAAAAGUUUCUAAUCAGGUGGGCAGGGCCAAGGGUGGCUGUGGGGUGAGACCCAUGACUCAGGGUGGCCCACUGUUACUCUAUUGAUUUUUGGGCGUUUUUUUCCAAAUUGAUUAUUCUUGCUGAAUGAGACCUGAGUCCUUGACUGUCCCCUUAAAGCCACCUGACUUGUUUUCAGUUCCACUGGCCUGUCGGGCUGUUUUCUACUCAACUCCACUCUUGCUUGUCUGCCCUCCCUGCCUGGGGCCCAGCCAGCAGUCAGCUCAAGGGCCAGAUGAAUUGGGUGGCUGUGCUCUGCCCACUGGGCAUCGUGUGGAUGGUGGGUGACCAGCCCCCUCAGGUGCUCAGCCAGGCCUCAAGCCUUGCUGUGUACCUCAGAGCAGCUCCGUACCCUGAUGUCACAGCAAAGAAACUUAGACAUGACACAAACUGUGGCUUCCCAAGGCAGCAAAGAAUGGCCAGGGGUCAUGAGGGCCGUGCCCCACUUUUGGACAGACCUACUCUAAAGUCACGCUACCUGCGUGCAAAUCAUAAAAUCAACACUUUUGAGGAGAUCACAGCUAUGCCUUCGUAACACAGCCCAGUCCGACCAGAUAGACGGUGCCUCGUGACCCGAAAACAAGCCCCCGGCCCCCCACCAUGUGUGUGAGCCUUACCUUGGACUGCACGCUGAGGGAGCGGAUGGAAGGGACAGCAAGGAGGCCGAAGCGCUCGUAGAGGUACUCAUUGGAGGAGCUUCCCUUCAGGAGGGCGAAAGGAAUGAGGUAGAGCUCCCCCUCCAGAACCAGGAUGAGCUGCCGGUGCCGGCCCACGGGGCCGCUGGAGUGCAUCAGGCCCUAUGGAGCAAGCACGGAGAGGCUGACAUGGGUGGCCCAGCAGGCAGGGGUUUCAGGCACCAGGACAACCCUGAGCCCUAGCCUGGAUGACACAAGCACGAGCAGGUGAGGCCUGUGGGGGUGUGGGGCGCCAUGGGGCAUGGGCCGAGUUGCAGCCCUGCAGGAGCGGCACCAACUGGCAUGCUCGCUUGUGGACUGGCAAGGGCUGGCCUGGCAGCAUCCAUCUGCCUCACAGUCCUGAGAAGGUUAGAGGACAGUUUCUUGAAGUUCACAAGAACCUGAAGUGGGUUGGAGACCGGUCUGUACCGCACAGGCACCCUGAGAAGGGGUGGGAAUGGCCCCUCUCAAAACAAGAUCUGUUUUCCAUUUCAAUGGACAAGAGGCUAGAAAAUCACAGUGAGGACGGGAGGUCUGGGGGCUGGCAUGACAGCCCCUGUAGAAGGGGAUGGGCUGGGUUCUAGGAUCUUCCGUGACCUCCUCUGAGAAAGAGUGGCCCCUUGGCUCUGGGCUUGGGAGGUGCCGUCCCCACUUGUUCCCUCUGGGGAUGUCAGGGGACCCAAUGCAUGGAUGACUCCCAUCCCUCUUGAAAGGCCGAGCAUGAGGACUCGAGGCAGGGUGUGCACAGGGCCACAGCGGACACAGCCUCAUUCCUGUUCAUUGCAGAACAAGGCUAAGGGCGCGGGCAUCUUAAUGAGAGCAGCAGGCAACAAUCCUGGAAGCUGGGUCCACACAGACUGCGGUGAACAAAGAGGUGGCGUGGAAGCUGCUGCUGCAGCCCAGAGCCUGCCAAGAAGGUCCCAGGUCCACAGGGCCUGCGCAACACUGGGUGCCAGGGGUGGGGCUGGCCUGCCCCCCAACCCCAUCUGCUGAGGAGUGGCUGACAAGCGGACACCCACCAGGGUGCCACUCGCUUGUGCCUGGGGAAGCAAAUGUGCUCGCUUGACCCGUCUGAUGUGCUGCCGUGGGCACUUGACUGAGAGUGGCAGAGCACUAGGCUAACCCAAAGUGACACAUGCCUGGCGGGAUGUUCAGUCU
Molecule: long non-coding RNA, 6834 nt
Organism: Homo sapiens (human)
Lineage: Eukaryota; Metazoa; Chordata; Mammalia; Primates; Hominidae
Gene: TTC28-AS1
Product: TTC28 antisense RNA 1
Source: Ensembl